This 250-nucleotide ribosomal RNA is filed under the name uncultured bacterium. RNAcentral describes it as "partial 16S ribosomal RNA". It matches the Rfam family "Bacterial small subunit ribosomal RNA", at positions 355 to 621 of the family's 1533-position model. The record is from RNAcentral.
UAAGGAAUCUUCCACAAUGGACGAAAGUCUGAUGGAGCAACACCGCGUGCAGGAUGACGGCCUUCGGGUUGUAAACUGCUUUUAUAUGGGAAGAUUAUGACGGUACCAUAUGAAUAAGCACCGGCUAACUACGUGCCAGCAGCCGCGGUAAUACGUAGGGUGCAAGCGUUAUCCGGAAUCACUGGGCGUAAAGCGUGUGUAGGCGGAUCUUUAAGUGUGAUGUUAAAUCGUGUGGCUCAACCAUAUCGAU